This 745-nucleotide ribosomal RNA is filed under the name uncultured bacterium. RNAcentral describes it as "bacterial SSU rRNA". It matches the Rfam family "Bacterial small subunit ribosomal RNA", at positions 8 to 796 of the family's 1533-position model. The record is from RNAcentral.
AGAGUUUGAUCAUGGCUCAGGACGAACGCUGGCGGUGUGCCUCACACAUGCAAGUCGAACGGAGCAGCAAUGCUUAGUGGCGGACGGGUGAGUAACACGUGGGAAUCUGCCCUUGAGUGGUGAAUAACUGGCCGAAAGGCUAGCUAAUGUGCCAUACGUCGGAAGAUGAAAGUAGCAAUACGCUUGAGGAUGAGCCCGCGUCCGAUUAGCUAGUUGGUAAGGUAAAGGCUUACCAAGGCACCGAUCGGUAGGUGGUCUGAGAGGAUGAUCACCCACAAUGGAACUGAGACACGGUCCAUACUCCUACGGGAGGCAGCAGUGGGGAAUUUUACACAAUGGGGGAAACCCUGAUGUAGCGACACCGCGUGAGCGAAGAAGCCCUUGGGGUGUAAAGCUCUGUCAGCAGGGACGAAAAAAAUGACGGUACCUGCAGAGGAAGCAUCGGCUAACUACGUGCCAGCAGCCGCGGUAAGACGUAGGAUGCGAGCGUUGUCCGGAUUUAUUGGGCGUAAAGAGUUCGUAGGUGGUUCAUUAAGUCUGGUGUUAAAGGCGCGGGCCCAACCCGUGUACUGCACUGGAUACUGGUGGACUGGAGUGCAGUAGAGGCAAGCGGGAUUCCCAGUGUAGCGGUGAAAUGCGUAGAUAUUGGGAAGAACACCGGUGGCGCAAGCGGCUUGCUGGGCUGUAACUGACACUGAGGAACGAAAGCUAGGGGAGCGAAUGGGAUUAGAUACCCCCGUAGUCC